AGAGUUUGAUCAUGGCUCAGGACGAACGCUGGCGGCGUGCCUAAUACAUGCAAGUCGUGCGGGGUCUUGAAGGGCUUGCCCUUUAAGACCCAGCGGCGAACGGGUGAGUAACACGUGGGUAACCUGCCCGCAAGACCGGGAUAACUCCGGGAAACCGGGGCUAAUACCGGAUAGGACCCCGGAUCGCAUGAUCCGGGGUGGAAAGGCGGCGUCAAGCUGCCACUUGCGGAUGGGCCCGCGGCGCAUUAGCUGGUUGGUGAGGUAACGGCUCACCAAGGCGACGAUGCGUAGCCGACCUGAGAGGGUGAUCGGCCACACUGGGACUGAGACACGGCCCAGACUCCUACGGGAGGCAGCAGUAGGGAAUUUUGGGCAAUGGGCGAAAGCCUGACCCAGCAACGCCGCGUGAAGGAUGAAAUCCUUCGGGAUGUAAACUUCGCAAGAACGGGAAGAAUAAGUAAGGGUUAAUAUCUCUUAUGAUGACGGUACUGUUUGUAAGCUCCGGCUAACUCCGUGCUAGCAGCCGCGGGUAAUUC
Molecule: ribosomal RNA, 536 nt
Filed under: uncultured bacterium
Lineage: Bacteria
Description: bacterial SSU rRNA
Rfam family: Bacterial small subunit ribosomal RNA
Source: RNAcentral